GGAAGUUUUCCAGAAAACUUACAGAAUCCACAUUGAAUAAAUACAAAGAUAUGAAUUUCAUGCAAAUUCAGCGUUUCCUCACAUCUCGUUCACAAAGUCAAUACAGACAGCUUUGGAAUUGGAUUUGAAAGACGAGCACGCUCAGAAUGGAGGGAAAACAGCAGCAUGUUGUGGACCUUACACAAAAUGAGGCCGAGAUGGUGACAAUGUUACCCAGAAAUCCAUACUGCUCAGAUGAAGGAACACACUGUGGUUGUAAAUUGCACAAUCUGACCUUCCAGCCAUAGUGGGUUACAGGAAAACCAUGGUCACUCUGGAAAACAUUUCUGGUGUGUCUAUUGGCCUGUAUAAUUGCUGCUACCCUUGUAGUUCUGGUCUUAUAUUUUGUCCCCUUUGGCAAGCCCACCUGCCACACCACCAUCAUCAUCCAUGCAGAUGGAAAGUCCAGUCAUGUCACUUGCCUUCCUGGUCCUGCCCCAUCUGCUGCCCGAUUGCCCCCACCUGGAUCUCAGAGCACCCUGCCUGCUGUUCCUAUGGCCAACCCAAGUUCCUCUACCACGGCGUCACCAUCUACUAUAGCAACCGAGACCACCUCACAGCGCCAUGAAGUUGUCUUUCAUUACUCCUGAGGUUUUUGAGCCUUCAGCCCUCCUCAAGCCAGAUAAACACUCUUCCCUAAAAGAGAUAUGCCCAAGCUUCUCUCCUCCUUACCAUGAGGUUCCAGAGAAUUUAGCCUCCUGACAUCUCACCACUCUUAUUCAAUUCUUUGCUGGCUUCCCACGUGGUAAUGACUUAGUUUUUGACCUGCCCAUGUUUAAAUGAUUAGGAAUGAAAAUUUAAGCCUGGAUGAGCCUGCCAUAUGCUCCCUGCCCUGUCAAGCUGCCUGCAUGCUGGUUCGUAGCCUUGUGUCUACCCUCCAGCCACUAUUGAUUAUCUCCCAAUCUCACAGACUUGACAAUUUUUAGCACUUGUGUGCCAGUAGAUAAAGAAGCAAAUGUUUAUUAAAAGUGAAAGGAAUGAUUUAUUAAAUGAUUACUAAUCUUUACAGAGGGGUUCUUCUUCUUGGAGAAUUCAGAAAACAGUAGAGAUCUGUGGGGAUAGAAAUAAUCAAAAAGCAUUAGCGAAGGGUUUAAUGUGAGAAAAGGUUUGGAUUUAAGUGGAUGUAAUUAAAACUAAAAAAUGAAAGCUCCAAAGGGGUUUAAUAGAAUUAAAAACAAAGGUACACUUGGAAAGACUUGAAAUGUGAACAAAUGACAUAGAUUUAUACCAUAGAAAUAUUAAACUUUUAAAUUGUUUUAUUCUUCAUCUGAGGGGCACAUUACUUAUAAUUUGCUGUGAAAUACAGUAUAUUGUUCAACGUUGGUUAUAUUCUGUGGGGUUAAUACAUUCUAGAAGCAAACACUUCUCAGGGCAGAAAAGACUUCAGAGCUAAAGAAUCCCACCUGAUUUACCCCUAACCUCCUAAAUUUAGAAAAGGGGAAGACUGUCCCAGUGAGGAGAUGCUCCUAGCCAAAGAC
Long non-coding RNA from Nycticebus coucang (slow loris), 1517 nucleotides. RefSeq lists it as uncharacterized. NCBI's taxonomy places the organism in Eukaryota, Metazoa, Chordata, Mammalia, Primates, Lorisidae. The record is from RefSeq and is a predicted model, not a curated record. The transcript has 3 exons.